AGCAGCCGCAGUAAUUCCAGCUCCAAUAGCGUAUACUAAAGUUGUUGCAGUUAAAAAGCUCGUAGUUGAAUUUCGGGACCAAUUUGUUGGUCGUGCCUCGGUACGUACUGGUAUUAUUGGUUUCUCCCUUCUGAAGAACCUUGAUGUCAUUAAUUUGGUGUCUUGGGGAAUCAGGACUGUUACUUUGAAAAAAUUAGAGUGUUUAAAGCAGGCAUACGCUUGAAUACAUUAGCAUGGAAUAAUGAAAUAGGACGUUUGAUUCUAUUUUGUUGGUUUCUAGGAUCGACGUAAUGAUUAAUAGGGAUAGUUGGGGGCAUUAGUAUUCAAUUGUCAGAGGUGAAAUUCUUGGAUUUAUUGAAGACUAACUACUGCGAAAGCAUUUGCCAAGGAUGUUUUCAUUAAUCAAGAACGAAAGUUAGGGGAUCGAAGACGAUCAGAUACCGUCGUAGUCUUAACCAUAAACUAUGCCGACUAGGGAUCGGAUGAUGUUAUUUUUAAUGACUCAUU
Molecule: ribosomal RNA, 507 nt
Filed under: uncultured Glomus
Lineage: Eukaryota; Fungi; Glomeromycota; Glomeromycetes; Glomerales; Glomeraceae
Description: SSU rRNA
Rfam family: Eukaryotic small subunit ribosomal RNA
Source: RNAcentral